RNAcentral lists this ribosomal RNA (388 nucleotides) under Dermanyssus sp. LB18. RNAcentral describes it as "partial 16S ribosomal RNA". The record is from RNAcentral. Lineage: Eukaryota; Metazoa; Arthropoda; Arachnida; Mesostigmata; Dermanyssidae.
UUUUAAAUUGCUGUAGUAAUAUAACUAUACGAAGGUAUUGAAAUAAGAUUUUAAAUGAGUGCUAAGAGAAUGGAUGAAUGUAUAUAGAUUGUUUUUUUUUAAAAAUUAAAAAUUAAUUUAAAAAUGAAAAAGUUUUUAUAUAGUAGUGGGACAAGAAGACCCUAUGAAUCUUAAUUAUUUUUAAAAUUAAAAAUUAUCUUAAAAAUAAUUUAAUUGGGGCGAUUAAAAAAGAAUAUUUAUCUUUAUUUUGAAUUUAUUUUUUAAAUAUAGGAAAAGAUACUCUAGGGAUAACAGCGUUAUUAUUUUGGAUAGUUCAUAUUGAUAAAAUAGUUUGCGACCUCGAUGUUGAAUUAAUGAACCUUUUAAAUGAAGUUAUUUAGAAAGGUAG